This 964-nucleotide ribosomal RNA is filed under the name Bacillus sp. (in: firmicutes). RNAcentral describes it as "bacterial SSU rRNA". It matches the Rfam family "Bacterial small subunit ribosomal RNA", at positions 53 to 997 of the family's 1533-position model. Lineage: Bacteria; Bacillati; Bacillota; Bacilli; Caryophanales; Bacillaceae. The record is from RNAcentral.
ACNUGCAGUCGAGCGANUGGAUUAAGAGCUUGCUCUUAUGAAGUUAGCGGCGGACGGGUGAGUAACACGUGGGUAACCUACCCAUAAGACUGGGAUAACUCCGGGAAACCGGGGCUAAUACCGGAUAAUAUUUUGAACUGCAUAGUUCGAAAUUGAAAGGCGGCUUCGGCUGUCACUUAUGGAUGGACCCGCGUCGCAUUAGCUAGUUGGUGAGGUAACGGCUCACCAAGGCAACGAUGCGUAGCCGACCUGAGAGGGUGAUCGGCCACACUGGGACUGAGACACGGCCCAGACUCCUACGGGAGGCAGCAGUAGGGAAUCUUCCGCAAUGGACGAAAGUCUGACGGAGCAACGCCGCGUGAGUGAUGAAGGCUUUCGGGUCGUAAAACUCUGUUGUUAGGGAAGAACAAGUGCUAGUUGAAUAAGCUGGCACCUUGACGGUACCUAACCAGAAAGCCACGGCUAACUACGUGCCAGCAGCCGCGGUAAUACGUAGGUGGCAAGCGUUAUCCGGAAUUAUUGGGCGUAAAGCGCGCGCAGGUGGUUUCUUAAGUCUGAUGUGAAAGCCCACGGCUCAACCGUGGAGGGUCAUUGGAAACUGGGAGACUUGAGUGCAGAAGAGGAAAGUGGAAUUCCAUGUGUAGCGGUGAAAUGCGUAGAGAUAUGGAGGAACACCAGUGGCGAAGGCGACUUUCUGGUCUGUAACUGACACUGAGGCGCGAAAGCGUGGGGAGCAANCAGGAUUAGAUACCCUGGUAGUCCACGCCGUAANCGAUGAGUGCUAAGUGUUAGAGGGUUUCCGCCCUUUAGUGCUGAAGUUAACGCAUUAAGCACUCCGCCUGGGGAGUACGGCCGCAAGGCUGAAACUCAAAGGAAUUGACGGGGGCCCGCACAAGCGGNGGAGCAUGUGGUUUAAUUCGAAGCAACGCGAAGAACCUUACCAGGUCUUGACAUCCUCUGAAAA